AUACGGAGGAUCCAAGCGUUAUCCGGAAUCAUUGGGUUUAAAGGGUCCGUAGGUGGACAGAUAAGUCAGAGGUGAAAUCCUGCAGCUCAACUGUAGAAUUGCCUUUGAAACUGUUUGUCUUGAGUCAUAGUGAAGUGGUUAGAAUGUGUAGUGUAGCGGUGAAAUGCAUAGAUAUUACACAGAAUACCGAUUGCGAAGGCAGAUCACUAAUAAUGUACUGACACUGAUGGACGAAAGCGUGGGUAGCGAACAGGAUUAGAAACCCUAGUAGUCC
Molecule: ribosomal RNA, 274 nt
Filed under: uncultured bacterium
Lineage: Bacteria
Description: partial 16S ribosomal RNA
Rfam family: Bacterial small subunit ribosomal RNA
Source: RNAcentral